UGGGGAAUAUUGGACAAUGGGCGCAAGCCUGAUCCAGCCAUGCCGCGUGAGUGAUGAAGGCCCUAGGGUUGUAAAGCUCUUUCACCGGUGAAGAUAAUGACGGUAACCGGAGAAGAAGCCCCGGCUAACUUCGUGCCAGCAGCCGCGGUAAUACGAAGGGGGCUAGCGUUGUUCGGAUUUACUGGGCGUAAAGCGAACGUAGGCGGACUUUUAAGUCAGGGGUGAAAUCCCGGGGCUCAACCCCGGAACUGCCUUUGAUACUGGAAGUCUUGAGUAUGGUAGGGGUGAGUGGAAUUCCGAGUGUAGAGGUGAAAUUCGUAGAUAUUCGGAGGAACACCAGUGGCGAAGGCGGCUCACUGGACCAUUACUGACGCUGAGGUGCGAAAGCGUGGGGAGCAAACAGG
Molecule: ribosomal RNA, 404 nt
Filed under: Actinomycetes bacterium
Lineage: Bacteria; Bacillati; Actinomycetota; Actinomycetes
Description: Actinobacteria bacterium partial 16S ribosomal RNA
Rfam family: Bacterial small subunit ribosomal RNA
Source: RNAcentral